CCCGGGCCUUGUACACACCGCCCGUCACACCACGAAAGUCGGCAAUACCCGAAGCCGGUGGGCUAACCCGCAAGAAAGACAGCCGUCGAAAAUAGGGUCGAUGAUUAGGGUG
This 112-nucleotide ribosomal RNA is filed under the name uncultured bacterium. RNAcentral describes it as "partial 16S ribosomal RNA". It matches the Rfam family "Bacterial small subunit ribosomal RNA", at positions 1373 to 1482 of the family's 1533-position model. The record is from RNAcentral.